Molecule: ribosomal RNA, 465 nt
Filed under: Vreelandella stevensii
Lineage: Bacteria; Pseudomonadati; Pseudomonadota; Gammaproteobacteria; Oceanospirillales; Halomonadaceae
Description: partial 16S ribosomal RNA
Rfam family: Bacterial small subunit ribosomal RNA
Source: RNAcentral
CCUACGGGUGGCUGCAGUGGGGAAUAUUGGACAAUGGGGGGAACCCUGAUCCAGCCAUGCCGCGUGUGUGAAGAAGGCCCUCGGGUUGUAAAGCACUUUCAGUGAGGAAGAACGCCUGGUGGUUAAUACCCAUCAGGAAAGACAUCACUCACAGAAGAAGCACCGGCUAACUCCGUGCCAGCAGCCGCGGUAAUACGGAGGGUGCGAGCGUUAAUCGGAAUUACUGGGCGUAAAGCGCGCGUAGGUGGCUUGAUAAGCCGGUUGUGAAAGCCCCGGGCUCGACCUGGGAACGGCAUCCGGAACUGUCAAGCUAGAGUGCAGGAGAGGAAGGUAGAAUUCCCGGUGUAGCGGUGAAAUGCGUAGAGAUCGGGAGGAAUACCAGUGGCGAAGGCGGCCUUCUGGACUGACACUGACACUGAGGUGCGAAAGCGUGGGUAGCAAACAGGAUUAGAUACCCGUGUAGUC